Diabrotica virgifera virgifera (western corn rootworm) is the source of this 4554-nucleotide RNA transcript. RefSeq lists it as uncharacterized. The record is from RefSeq and is a predicted model, not a curated record. NCBI's taxonomy places the organism in Eukaryota, Metazoa, Arthropoda, Insecta, Coleoptera, Chrysomelidae. The transcript is spliced from 2 exons.
UUGUAAAAUCCGUUUUAAAUUUUCUUUAUUCAUUGUUUCUUGUACCUCUGUUACGAAAUAACGAGAAAUAAUAUUGGUGAAUUAACAAUAAAUUUGUUUAUAAAGACAUAAGUACAUAUUACUUGUUAUCGUUAUUGUUAAAUAUACAGGAAAUUAAUAUUAUUUACAUGUAUAUUUAUCAAUCAACGCUAUAUAUAUUAUAGACUGCUUAUAUUACAUAUUGCUAUAUUAUUUACCUACUGCUGUAAUAAUAUGGAUUCUACAGAGAAACGAAAAUUAUUUAAUAAAUUUUAUCAGCGAUAUAAACGAUCUAAACAAGUUACGAAAGUCGAUGAACGGGUCUCCACGUCUAAAGAUAAUUAUUAUAAAACCAGUGAAAGUUCCACAUCCCAAAAAAACAUUUUUAAUGAUUCAGAAGAAAGCACAGAUUCUGAACAAAAUUUUUGUGAUAUUACUCAAGUUCCAUCUCAAAUUCAGGAAGAAACCUUUGUUCAGACUGAAUUUUUAGAUAUACCACAGCCGGCACAUGAGGUACCGAAGUCAACUUUAAUAGAACAGUUAUCAGAUUGGGCCAUAAUUCACAACAUUAAUCAUAUUGCUUUAUCUGAUUUAUUGAAAAUUUUAAAUCGAACACUUGACAUUAAUCUGCCCAAAGAUCCAAGAACUCUUUUAAAAACACCACGAAAUACUGGUUCUCUAAUUGAUAAGGUAGAACCAGGUGUUUACUUUCAUUUUGGGGUGGAAAAUAGUCUUAUUAAUUUGAUAAAUCGUACAGGUGGUAUUGGCUCCGGGGUUAGUAAUAUUUUAGAAAUCUGUGUAAACGUUGAUGGUCUUCCUUUAUCAAAAAGCUCUGGUAGUCAGUUAUGGCCUAUAAUGAUUAACCUUUUUCAAAAUAAAAACAUUGUGGAGGUAUGUGGAUUAUAUCAAGGCAAUAAAAAACCUGAAAAUGUUAAUCUGUUUAUGUGCAAGUUUGUAAAUGAAAUCAUCAGCUUGAUGACUAAUGGUUUCACUUAUAAAAACCAAAUAUUUUAUGUAAAAAUUAAAGCUUUUAUUUGUGAUGUCCCUGCAAAAGCUUUUAUAAAGUGUACCAGAGGUCAUAGUGGCUAUAUGUCUUGUUCUAAAUGUGAUACUGAAGGUGUCUUUAAAGCGAAUAGAGUUUGUUUUCCUCCAAUAGAAGGAUUUCGUCUUCGAACAGAUGAAACUUUUAGGUCUAAAGAGCAAGAGAGCCACCACACAGAUACUUCUAUCUUGGAAUCUAUACCUAACUUGAAUAUGAUAACUUGUUUUCCACUAGACUACAUGCAUUUAGUUUGUCUCGGCAUUGUUAAAAAAUUAAUAAGUAAUUUGUGGUUAUCAGGAAAACCACCUCACCGAUUUUCAAGCCAGCAAAUUUCUAAUAUUUCCCAACAACAUUUAUCAUUCCAAAAUCAAGUACCCACUGAAUUUUCUAGAAAACCUAGAUUGCUUUCUGAUAUUAAGCAUUGGAAAGCAACGGAGCUUAGAAUGUUUCUGUUUUACACUGGACCAGUGGUGUUAAAAGGUAGUGUCACUGAUGAAAUUUACCAAAAUUUUGUGUCUCUGCAUGUAGCAGUUACGCUUUUCUCCAAAAAUCAAAAUAUUGAUUAUGCUGCUGAAUUGUCAAAAUAUUUUAUUGAAACAUUUUCACUGCUGUAUGGAGAAGAAAAUGUAUCACAUAAUGUGCAUAACCUUUUGCAUAUUGUUGAUGACGUUAAAAUUUUUGGUAGCAUUGAAAAUUUCAGUGCUUUUCCAUUUGAAAAUAAUAUGUUAUUUUUAAAAAAACUGGUGCGCAAAGGGGAUCAGCCCCUUCAACAAAUUAUUAAUAGAAUUGUAGAACGAAACAAUUGUAUUUUGGGAUCUGCAAGUCUUGGUGUAGAAUACCCUGUAUUAAAAUUUGAACAUUCUAAUGGGCCACUGAUUGUAAGUGCUUUUGGUAUAAAACAGUUUAAAAAAAUUUGUUUGGAAAAUUUCUCAUUGUCCUUAGACGACUCAAAUAAUUGCUGUUUUAUGAAUGAUAACAGUGUAGUUAUUAUUAAAAAUAUUGUUUCUUUAAAUAAUGUAGUAACAAUAAUUGGUCAGAAGUAUUUAGUUUUAGAAAAUUUUUAUAAUUUGCCUUGUGAAUCUUCUAAAUUAAACAUUUUUGUUGUAAGUAAAGAAGGUCCUAUUGAAUCGUGGCAGUUACCUCAAGUAGUUUACAAGUUUUUUAAACUUAGAUUAAACAAUAAGGUGGUUGUGUUUCCGUUAUUACAUACAACUAUUUAAUUGUUACAGGUUUGUUGUUGUUUAUUUGGGUUUAUAUGACUGCACACACUAAAUCCAUUCACCAAUUAUACUAUUUUUUAUUUUAUUAGUCUUUUUUUCAUAUCUUAUCCUGAAACUAAUGCUAAUAUUAAUCUCUAGUAAACAAUUAUUCUACUAAUAAACAAUAAUUUUUGUAUUUUUUUAAAAAAAAAUUUUAAUAUAUUUUUUUUGUAUUUUUUUAAUGAAGUUCUCCUAACGAGUUUCACAGCAACAUUCUUCUUUAGUCCUCUACUUAAUUCGAAAGCUUUGUACUAUGGACUGUUCUAGUUCGUCAUUCAUUUUUAUCUACAUAUUUUUUUUUUUAUUAUUAUAUCUGUUUUCUAUUAUUUUUUUAUAUAUUUUUUUUUAAUAUUUUUUCCUUUUUUUUUUGGCAAUAUAGGUAACAGACCUGGGCAUCACAUUUAAUGAAAGCAUUAAUUUCAAUGACCAUAUUUCACAGAUUACAUUGAAAAGUCUUAAACUUCUUGGAUUUACAUUAAGAAACUGUAGUGAGUUCCCAAUUGAUGUAACAAAGUUGUGUAUUGUUCUCUUGAACGCUCUCAAUUAGAAUAUGGCACGCUAGUCUGGUCUGCUAUGUAUGACCAGUACAUCAAUUCCAUUGAGAAAGUUCAGAAUAAGUUUCUUAGGUAUUGUGGCUACAAAAUGGGAAUUCUAGUUGCAAAUAUAGACAAAAAAGUAAUUUUAGAUAGAUUAAAUCUAACAACACUUUAUAUCGGACGAAUUCAGUUUGAUUCUGUAUUUAUUUAUAAAUUAUUAAAUAAUUUAAUUCAAUGUCCAGAACUUUUAAGUAAAAUAAGCAUCAAUAUUCCACAGCGUAGACUAAGAUCUUUUGAAUUUUUUCAUAUAAACUUUCAUGCUACCAAUUAUACCUGCAAUAAUCCAUUUGAUAGGGUCUUAAGGUUUUUAAAUAGUCACUGUGAUAGAGAUCCUUUUAAUUUAAGUUUAAAUCAAUUUAAAACCAUGAUUUAUAGUAAACUCUAGAAUUAUUUCUAAUUAUUGUAUUUUAAAGUGUAGUUACGAGGUAAAUUAGAUUAAAAAUAUAGUAUUAUAAUGCUGUAAUGGGGUGAUCCCGUCUAUUUAAUAAAUAAAAUAAAAUAAAAUUAACAGAAAUACUUACUCUGUAUUUUACAAUUACAAUUUCAGUUUAAUAUCUAAAAUGAAUAUGUUUAUACAAUAGUCGGUAUACCAACUCAUUGUUUUCUAAUGUUAAUAAAUAGUUUAAAUUAUUGGAAUGGUGGACAUCAGUCAAAGAAUAUGGUGAAUUGAAAAACAUGUUUUAUUAAAAAUAAGAGAACAUGUCAAAAUUUUGUGUUGUAGGUUACCCAACUGACCACAAAUACAUUGUGGACUAUCAGCUAGAUUAACUUUAAAAAUUUAUGAUGGUAUAAGACAGUGGUUAAAUCUCAUUCUGCAUAUCUCUAUCUACAUUCUAACACCAUGUAUGAGGAUUUUUAGGCAAAACAAGUUUUGAGCAUAUUGAAUUUAUUCUCUACUGAAUUAUUCUAAUCCCAAGUAUGAGAAAUAAUGUUUUCUCAUACUUGGGAUUAAAAUCAUUCGGUAGAGCGUGCGCAAUAUAAUCAGAAUCAACCUCUAACUCGUUUCGCCUAAAAAUCCUCAUACUUUGUAUUAGAAUGUAGGUAGCGAUAUGGUUCUUGUUACAGAUUUGUGUAUUGCUGUUAAUUUUUUUAAUGUCAUCGUUAUUUUUCUAAAACUGAAAAUUUGUCACUUUUUAAAAAACAUGUAGUCAUAAAUUUGGUACGUAGUAGAUUUAAUCAAUAUUUUUUCUCGUAUUUUUCUAUUUUGGAGUAUCAUAACUUUUAAAUUAAAAUAUUUUUUAUGUUUUAUGAAAAAAAAAUUAUUUUCUGUGAUCAAAGUCGUCAUGGCAUCUCCAAAAACGUGGACUGUUGUGUGCUUCUGUUCGGAUAAUGCUGUCCAGGCAGUCCCAACAACAUGGAUAAAUGGAGACACUUGUCUUUGGCCCGCCUUACCACGGGAAAAAUUGAAUAACGCAUUAAAGAACUGCGAAUACAAUAGUUGUUGGCCCAUGCAUAAAGUGCGAAUAUUUCGGGAUUCAACUUAUGAAGACUAUGCAACAGCGAGAACGAAGGCAGCGAAAGCUGAGUACAGCAGUGACCUAAAUUCAGAUCCUGACGUAAGAAGAUCCAGAAAAAGACGAACGUUCACUUCUUCGGAAUCAGAAGACGAGAGCAGGAUAAAGAAAAAGCCGAAAAAAAA